CCAAUCCCCAUUCUUCUGCGCGGACAAAUUUAAAAUGGCGGCCGACAUGUACAAAAUUUGAGCUACAUUUCUUUAUGGUUUUGGCACGUUUUUAGCUGUUUUUAACUUAAUUUUGACGUGUAGUUUACGACGAUACUUAUCAACCACUUGUUUAUCAACAGCGUCGUUGUGAAAGCAGCAAGCUUUGACCAAUAUAUUGAAGGAAAUGAACCCAGUUCCACACGUCUCCAAUCGUCCUUCAAGCAUGAAUGUUGGCUUACCAAAACCAAGUGUUGAAGUUGCCUCGAAGGUGCCUAUGUCGGCGGGAAAUAUUAGAAAUAUACAAGGUUUGUACAAUGACGUUAAGUUGAAACCUCAACAGUGGACUGUAGUGGC
Molecule: non-coding RNA, 375 nt
Organism: Paramuricea clavata
Lineage: Eukaryota; Metazoa; Cnidaria; Anthozoa; Malacalcyonacea; Plexauridae
Source: the annotation of a GenBank genome assembly